This 497-nucleotide ribosomal RNA is filed under the name uncultured bacterium. RNAcentral describes it as "partial 16S ribosomal RNA". It matches the Rfam family "Bacterial small subunit ribosomal RNA", at positions 28 to 507 of the family's 1533-position model. The record is from RNAcentral.
GAUGAACGCUGGCGGCGUGCCUAAUACAUGCAAGUCGAGCGAACAGAUGAGGAGCUUGCUCCUCUGACGUUAGCGGCGGACGGGUGAGUAACACGUGGAUAACCUACCUAUAAGACUGGGAUAACUUCGGGAAGCCGGAUCUAAUACCGGAUAAUAUAUUCAACCGCAUGGGUCAAUGGAAAAAGAGGGUUUUGCUGUCAGAUAGAGAUGGAUCCGCGCCGCAUUAGCUAGUUGGUAAGGUAACGGCUUACCAAGGCAACGAUGCGGAGCCGACCUGAGAGGGUCAUCAGCCACACUGGAACUGAGACACGGUCCAGACUCCUACGGGAGGCAGCAGUAGGGAAUCUUCCGCGAUGGGCGAAAGCUUGACGGAGCAACGCCGCGUGAGUGAUGAAGGUCUUCGGAUCGUAAAACUCUGUUAUUCGGGAAGAACAAAUGUGUAAGUAACUAUGAACGUCUUGACGGUACCCAAUCAGAAAGCCACGGCUAACUACGUG